RNAcentral lists this ribosomal RNA (670 nucleotides) under Synostemon judithae. Its description in RNAcentral is "eukaryotic LSU rRNA". The stretch from base 261 to 416 matches the Rfam family "5.8S ribosomal RNA". The record is from RNAcentral. Lineage: Eukaryota; Viridiplantae; Streptophyta; Magnoliopsida; Malpighiales; Phyllanthaceae.
UUUCCGUAGGUGAACCUGCGGAAGGAUCAUUGUCGAAACUUGCAACGCAAUAUGACCCGCGAACAAAUUUAGUCACUGCGGAUGGUGCCUCGUGCUCCUGAAGCAAAGGCCUCUUUGGGUGCUAUGCUCCUUACAGUGUGCCACUUAAACAAACCCCGGCGCAGAAUGCGCCAAGGAAUAUUAACAAAAAAGUGAGAGCACUACAAUCACCUCAAAGAUGAUGUGUGGACAGUAGUUGUGUCUCCUUUCUUAACCAAAAUGACUCUCGGCAACGGAUAUCUCGGCUCUCGCAUCGAUGAAGAACGUAGCGAAAUGUGAUACUUGGUGUGAAUUGCAGAAUCCCGUGAACCAUCGAGUCUUUGAACGCAAGUUGCGCCCAAAACCUUCGGGUCGAGGGCACGUCUGCCUGGGUGUCACGUAACGUCGCUCCCACUCUCCCUUGAAGGGUUUGUGAUUUUGGGGCGGAAAAUGGCCUCCUGUGAACUCCUUUGGUCGUGGUUGGUCGAAAAAAGAGACCAAGUCGGUUGGUGUCGUGGCAUUCGGUGGUUGAAAGUACCCUCACAACGCCACGUUCAUUUGCCUAACUUAUAAGAAUCUCUAACGGGAAUAAAUAAAAAAUUCUCGUAUAAGAUGCGACCCCAGGUCAGGCGGGAUUACCCGCUGAGUUUAA